GACCUGGCGGCGGCCUACACAUGCAAGUCGAGCGGCAGCGGGAAAGUAGCUUGCUACUUUUGCCGGCGAGCGGCGGACGGGUGAGUAAUGCCUGGGAAAUUGCCCAGUCGAGGGGGAUAACAGUUGGAAACGACUGCUAAUACCGCAUACGCCCUACGGGGGAAAGCAGGGGACCUUCGGGCCUUGCGCGAUUGGAUAUGCCCAGGUGGGAUUAGCUAGUUGGUGAGGUAAUGGCUCACCAAGGCGACGAUCCCUAGCUGGUCUGAGAGGAUGAUCAGCCACACUGGAAUUGAGACACGGUCCAGACUCCUACGGGAGGCAGCGGUGGGGAAUAUUGCACAAUGGGGGAAACCCUGAUGCAGCCAUGCCGCGUGUGUGAAGAAGGCCUUCGGGUUGUAAAGCACUUUCAGCGAGGAGGAAAGGUCAGUAGCUAAUAUCUGCUGGCUGUGACGUUACUCGCAGAAGAAGCACCGGCUAACUCCGUGCCAGCAGCCGCGGUAAU
This 502-nucleotide ribosomal RNA is filed under the name uncultured bacterium. RNAcentral describes it as "bacterial SSU rRNA". It matches the Rfam family "Bacterial small subunit ribosomal RNA", at positions 36 to 524 of the family's 1533-position model. The record is from RNAcentral.